UGGGGUAUGGCCAAGCGGUAAGGCAUCGGAUUCUGACUCCGAUAUGCCCAGGUUCGAAUCCUGGUACCCCAG
Molecule: transfer RNA, 72 nt
Filed under: secondary endosymbiont of Heteropsylla cubana
Lineage: Bacteria; Pseudomonadati; Pseudomonadota; Gammaproteobacteria; Enterobacterales; Enterobacteriaceae
Description: tRNA-Gln (CTG) (tRNA-Gln-CTG-1-1)
Rfam family: tRNA
About the family: Transfer RNA (tRNA) molecules are approximately 80 nucleotides in length.
Source: Rfam by way of RNAcentral